GGGGUGUGCUCAGAGCAGGGGGCCUAAAGAAUGGCUCCUCUGUUUAUAACACACCCAACAGGAAUCUGGGGUCAUUGUGAUGAGAGGCACGAAGCUUGUGGCCUCCCUACAAACAAAUGCCUACAUGU
Cercocebus atys (sooty mangabey) is the source of this 128-nucleotide small nucleolar RNA. The record is from Ensembl. Lineage: Eukaryota; Metazoa; Chordata; Mammalia; Primates; Cercopithecidae.